This 898-nucleotide long non-coding RNA is filed under the name Malus domestica (apple). Its description in RNAcentral is "long non-coding RNA (MDOM_LNC005306)". Lineage: Eukaryota; Viridiplantae; Streptophyta; Magnoliopsida; Rosales; Rosaceae. The record is from RNAcentral.
UAAACUUUAAAUUUAUAUUUAACCGUCGAUUGUCAUUUACGCUUUAUUCUUCUUACUAAAUUUCAUUUUUUAAAAUUUCAUUUUUUUUUAAAACAUGAUCAUCUGGCGGAUGUAAGAAGAUGAAUGAUUCAGAUCUUUAAUAUCACGUUUCGAUAUUUAUGGUUAAUUGAAAUAUGAGUCGAUAUCAUAUAGUUUGUAGAAACUUUAUAAACAUCAAGCAAUAUUUUCACUAACCGUAAAACUCUGAAUAUAAUAUCAAUGAUGCAAACUGUUCAUCUUCUUGCAUCCUCUAAUAUAUCAUGUUUUCAAAAAAGAAAAUAUGAAAAAACAAAAUUUGAUGAGAACAAUGAAGCGUAAAUGUAAACAACAUUCAACGGUUAAAUUUUGAUCUAUGAUUUAUAUGAUUAUAGUGGCGAAUUUCCAAGUUAAGCUCUUCAUGAAAGUUGUAAAGCUUGUCAUUACGAGCGUUUAUAUAUUUUUUUGUAUAUUUUUUACACUUCUACAUUAAUUAAAAAACUAUUAAAGACUUUACUUAAUUAAUUAAGCUAUUAAUUAAUCUAUACCCAUUUUGUUUCAGAAGCAAUGGAUGCUAGAGAUUCAGAUUCAGUAAACCUUAGUGAUGAGAAGUCCGUGGAGAUUAUAAUGGGAACAUAACAAGAUCUUGGAAGCGAAAGUAUAGACAAUACAAAUACGAAUCUUGCAAAAAAAAAAAAAAGGCUAGAGCAAUCAAUUUAGGUAAGCAAAAAUAUACUUAAAAAAAUGUGUUUUUAUGUUUUGGAUGUAACAAUAUGAUAUGUAUAUACUUAUUUAGUAUUAUGUCUUUCAUUUGAUUAUUUAUUGGUUUAAAACAUAUUUUCCUUAACAGGUAACGGGUCGGGUCAUAUUACCUGUUAAUAUU